RNAcentral lists this ribosomal RNA (2922 nucleotides) under Escherichia coli TOP293-3. RNAcentral describes it as "bacterial LSU rRNA". It matches the Rfam family "Bacterial large subunit ribosomal RNA". The record is from RNAcentral. Lineage: Bacteria; Pseudomonadati; Pseudomonadota; Gammaproteobacteria; Enterobacterales; Enterobacteriaceae.
UUAAGCGACUAAGCGUACACGGUGGAUGCCCUGGCAGUCAGAGGCGAUGAAGGACGUGCUAAUCUGCGAUAAGCGUCGGUGAGGUGAUAUGAACCGUUAUAACCGGCGAUUUCCGAAUGGGGAAACCCAGUGUGUUUCGACACACUAUCAUUAACUGAAUCCAUAGGUUAAUGAGGCGAACCGGGGGAACUGAAACAUCUAAGUACCCCGAGGAAAAGAAAUCAACCGAGAUUCCCCCAGUAGCGGCGAGCGAACGGGGAGGAGCCCAGAGCCUGAAUCAGUGUGUGUGUUAGUGGAAGCGUCUGGAAAGGCGUGCGAUACAGGGUGACAGCCCCGUACACAAAAAUGCACAUAUUGUGAGCUCGAUGAGUAGGGCGGGACACGUGGUAUCCUGUCUGAAUAUGGGGGGACCAUCCUCCAAGGCUAAAUACUCCUGACUGACCGAUAGUGAACCAGUACCGUGAGGGAAAGGCGAAAAGAACCCCGGCGAGGGGAGUGAAAAAGAACCUGAAACCGUGUACGUACAAGCAGUGGGAGCCUCUUAAUGGGGUGACUGCGUACCUUUUGUAUAAUGGGUCAGCGACUUAUAUUCUGUAGCAAGGUUAACCGAAUAGGGGAGCCGAAGGGAAACCGAGUCUUAACUGGGCGUUAAGUUGCAGGGUAUAGACCCGAAACCCGGUGAUCUAGCCAUGGGCAGGUUGAAGGUUGGGUAACACUAACUGGAGGACCGAACCGACUAAUGUUGAAAAAUUAGCGGAUGACUUGUGGCUGGGGGUGAAAGGCCAAUCAAACCGGGAGAUAGCUGGUUCUCCCCGAAAGCUAUUUAGGUAGCGCCUCGUGAAUUCAUCUCCGGGGGUAGAGCACUGUUUCGGCAAGGGGGUCAUCCCGACUUACCAACCCGAUGCAAACUGCGAAUACCGGAGAAUGUUAUCACGGGAGACACACGGCGGGUGCUAACGUCCGUCGUGAAGAGGGAAACAACCCAGACCGCCAGCUAAGGUCCCAAAGUCAUGGUUAAGUGGGAAACGAUGUGGGAAGGCCCAGACAGCCAGGAUGUUGGCUUAGAAGCAGCCAUCAUUUAAAGAAAGCGUAAUAGCUCACUGGUCGAGUCGGCCUGCGCGGAAGAUGUAACGGGGCUAAACCAUGCACCGAAGCUGCGGCAGCGACACUAUGUGUUGUUGGGUAGGGGAGCGUUCUGUAAGCCUGUGAAGGUGGCCUGUGAGGGUUGCUGGAGGUAUCAGAAGUGCGAAUGCUGACAUAAGUAACGAUAAAGCGGGUGAAAAGCCCGCUCGCCGGAAGACCAAGGGUUCCUGUCCAACGUUAAUCGGGGCAGGGUGAGUCGACCCCUAAGGCGAGGCCGAAAGGCGUAGUCGAUGGGAAACAGGUUAAUAUUCCUGUACUUGGUGUUACUGCGAAGGGGGGACGGAGAAGGCUAUGUUGGCCGGGCGACGGUUGUCCCGGUUUAAGCGUGUAGGCUGGUUUUCCAGGCAAAUCCGGAAAACCAAGGCUGAGGCGUGAUGACGAGGCACUACGGUGCUGAAGCGACAAAUGCCCUGCUUCCAGGAAAAGCCUCUAAGCAUCAGGUAACAUCAAAUCGUACCCCAAACCGACACAGGUGGUCAGGUAGAGAAUACCAAGGCGCUUGAGAGAACUCGGGUGAAGGAACUAGGCAAAAUGGUGCCGUAACUUCGGGAGAAGGCACGCUGAUAUGUAGGUGAAGCGACUUGCUCGUGGAGCUGAAAUCAGUCGAAGAUACCAGCUGGCUGCAACUGUUUAUUAAAAACACAGCACUGUGCAAACACGAAAGUGGACGUAUACGGUGUGACGCCUGCCCGGUGCCGGAAGGUUAAUUGAUGGGGUUAGCGGCAACGCGAAGCUCUUGAUCGAAGCCCCGGUAAACGGCGGCCGUAACUAUAACGGUCCUAAGGUAGCGAAAUUCCUUGUCGGGUAAGUUCCGACCUGCACGAAUGGCGUAAUGAUGGCCAGGCUGUCUCCACCCGAGACUCAGUGAAAUUGAACUCGCUGUGAAGAUGCAGUGUACCCGCGGCAAGACGGAAAGACCCCGUGAACCUUUACUAUAGCUUGACACUGAACAUUGAGCCUUGAUGUGUAGGAUAGGUGGGAGGCUUUGAAGUGUGGACGCCAGUCUGCAUGGAGCCGACCUUGAAAUACCACCCUUUAAUGUUUGAUGUUCUAACGUUGGCCCGUAAUCCGGGUUGCGGACAGUGUCUGGUGGGUAGUUUGACUGGGGCGGUCUCCUCCUAAAGAGUAACGGAGGAGCACGAAGGUUGGCUAAUCCUGGUCGGACAUCAGGAGGUUAGUGCAAUGGCAUAAGCCAGCUUGACUGCGAGCGUGACGGCGCGAGCAGGUGCGAAAGCAGGUCAUAGUGAUCCGGUGGUUCUGAAUGGAAGGGCCAUCGCUCAACGGAUAAAAGGUACUCCGGGGAUAACAGGUGUACUCCGGGGAUAACAGGCUGAUACCGCCCAAGAGUUCAUAUCGACGGCGGUGUUUGGCACCUCGAUGUCGGCUCAUCACAUCCUGGGGCUGAAGUAGGUCCCAAGGGUAUGGCUGUUCGCCAUUUAAAGUGGUACGCGAGCUGGGUUUAGAACGUCGUGAGACAGUUCGGUCCCUAUCUGCCGUGGGCGCUGGAGAACUGAGGGGGGCUGCUCCUAGUACGAGAGGACCGGAGUGGACGCAUCACUGGGGCUCGGGUUGUCAUGCCAAUGGCACUGCCCGGUAGCUAAAUGCGGAAGAGAUAAGUGCUGAAAGCAUCUAAGCACGAAACUUGCCCCGAGAUGAGUUCUCCCUGACUCCUUGAGAGUCCUGAAGGAACGUUGAAGACGACGACGUUGAUAGGCCGGGUGUGUAAGCGCAGCGAUGCGUUGAGCUAACCGGUACUAAUGAACCGUGAGGCUUAACCUU